UUUAUUUGAGAGUUUGAUCCUGGCUCAGGAUGAACGCUGGCGGCGUGCCUAACACAUGCAAGUUGAGCGAUUUACUUCGGUAAAGAGCGGCGGACGGGUGAGUAACGCGUGGGUAACCUACCCUGUACACACGGAUAACAUACCGAAAGGUAUGCUAAUACGGGAUAAUAUAUUUGAGAGGCAUCUCUUAAAUAUCAAAGGUGAGCCAGUACAGGAUGGACCCGCGUCUGAUUAGCUAGUUGGUAAGGUAACGGCUUACCAAGGCGACGAUCAGUAGCCGACCUGAGAGGGUGAUCGGCCACAUUGGAACUGAGACACGGUCCAAACUCCUACGGGAGGCAGCAGUGGGGAAUAUUGCACAAUGGGCGAAAGCCUGAUGCAGCAACG
This 387-nucleotide ribosomal RNA is filed under the name Clostridioides difficile. RNAcentral's name for it is "bacterial SSU rRNA". It matches the Rfam family "Bacterial small subunit ribosomal RNA", at positions 1 to 396 of the family's 1533-position model. Lineage: Bacteria; Bacillati; Bacillota; Clostridia; Peptostreptococcales; Peptostreptococcaceae. The record is from RNAcentral.